This 94-nucleotide microRNA precursor is filed under the name Dasypus novemcinctus (nine-banded armadillo). Its description in RNAcentral is "miRNA (ENSDNOG00000029646.1)". Lineage: Eukaryota; Metazoa; Chordata; Mammalia; Cingulata; Dasypodidae. The record is from RNAcentral.
AUCACCAGUGGAAUUUGGAAAAUGGAGAUUCUGAUUCAAUCUGGGAUGGGGCCUGAGAUUCUGCAUUUCUAACCAGCUCUCAUGGGAAGCCAGU